This 279-nucleotide ribosomal RNA is filed under the name uncultured bacterium. RNAcentral describes it as "partial 16S ribosomal RNA". It matches the Rfam family "Bacterial small subunit ribosomal RNA", at positions 506 to 784 of the family's 1533-position model. The record is from RNAcentral.
UGCCAGCCGCCGCGGUAAUACGGAGGGGGUAAGCGUUAACCGGAAUUAUUGGGCGUAAAGGGCGCGUAGGCGGACUGAAAAGUCCGAUGUGAAAGCCUACUGCUUAACAGUAGAAUAGCAUUUGAAACUCUUAGUCUUGAGGAUAGGCGGCGGAAGUGGAAUUCUGAGUGUAGCGGUGAAAUGCGUAGAUAUUCAGAGGAACACCUGUGGCGAAAGCGACUUCCUGGCCCAAAACUGACGCUGAGGUGCGAAAGCGUGGGUAGCGAACAGGAUUAGAUA